UUCAACGAAGAAGACAUCAACUAAAACUGUUCGUCAUCCGGGAAAAGAAGGCUGACGACUUUGUGGAACUCAGUUGACUGGAUCCUAACGUUUCCUUCUUGCCACAGUAACCAGGGUUCGGUCAUGGAUGAGACUUCCGUCGGAGAUAUAUUCCCCCUCGCCGGAGCUAAGCCAGCGGUUUGAGGCCGCCCGAGUUAGUCUACUCAUCUCCGUUUUAAGACGAACUUUCACAUGGACAAGCCGUAAGCGAUCUUGAGGGUGAUGACAAAAUGGGUUUGGGAGGAAUUUGCAAGGCCUCAACACUUCCUUUUAGCAUCUCCACAACUUGGGUUGUACAUGGUCGAGCUCUCGGAUCGAUCUGAAUGCACCAUAACCCGAUUACAAUCAUCUUCUUCGCAUUUACUUCGUCCUCCUCAUUUAUGG
Long non-coding RNA from Syzygium oleosum, 423 nucleotides. RefSeq lists it as uncharacterized. The record is from RefSeq and is a predicted model, not a curated record. Lineage: Eukaryota; Viridiplantae; Streptophyta; Magnoliopsida; Myrtales; Myrtaceae. The transcript is spliced from 3 exons.